UUUUUAGAGCGGCGUUUGUUCUUCUAGGCAAGAGCAUCCUGUGUCUUCAACCGAAUCCUCCAAGCUCGCUCGUCUGCUGCAAGAGGCUCUCUCGAAGAUAUCCCAUCUGGAAAAGGAAGUAGCAGAGCUUAAAAAGGUGGCUAACAAAGAAAAGGGCGUGAUGGAGAUGCUCCAAGUUGCAGUGCCAGCAAUACAAGGAGACAUGAGGAACGUAAGGCCACUUGGCGUGUCUUUUGGUCAAUGCCUUGUAACGCACAUCUGUGUGUC
Molecule: long non-coding RNA, 267 nt
Filed under: Dermacentor andersoni
Lineage: Eukaryota; Metazoa; Arthropoda; Arachnida; Ixodida; Ixodidae
Description: uncharacterized LOC126544591
Source: RNAcentral